CAUACACUCUGGCAAUGAGGACACUGAGCUCGCUUCUGAAAUUUGACAAGAUAACCACUAAAAUCUCUUUGAAUUCUAUGUUGUUGUGAUCCCAUGGCUACAGAGGAUCAGGAGUUGACAUAGAUACUCUUUGGAUUUCAUACCAUGUGGAGGCUUUCUUACUUCCACGUGACCUUGACUGAGUUUUGAAUAGCGCCCAACCCAAGUUCAAAGGCUGAUAAGAGAGAAAAUCUCAUGAGGAGGUUUUAGUCUAGGGAAAGUCAUUCAGUGGAUGUGAUCUUGGCUCACAGGGGACGAUGUCAAGCUCUUCCUGGCUCCUUCUCAGCCUUGUUGCUGUAACUGCUGCUCAGUCCACCAUUGAGGAACAGGCCAAGACAUUUUUGGACAAGUUUAACCACGAAGCCGAAGACCUGUUCUAUCAAAGUUCACUUGCUUCUUGGAAUUAUAACACCAAUAUUACUGAAGAGAAUGUCCAAAACAUGAAUAAUGCUGGGGACAAAUGGUCUGCCUUUUUAAAGGAACAGUCCACACUUGCCCAAAUGUAUCCACUACAAGAAAUUCAGAAUCUCACAGUCAAGCUUCAGCUGCAGGCUCUUCAG
RNAcentral lists this long non-coding RNA (599 nucleotides) under Homo sapiens (human). RNAcentral describes it as "non-protein coding lnc-ACE2-1:1". Lineage: Eukaryota; Metazoa; Chordata; Mammalia; Primates; Hominidae. The record is from RNAcentral.